This is a long non-coding RNA of Monomorium pharaonis (pharaoh ant), 404 nucleotides long. RefSeq lists it as uncharacterized. The record is from RefSeq and is a predicted model, not a curated record. NCBI's taxonomy places the organism in Eukaryota, Metazoa, Arthropoda, Insecta, Hymenoptera, Formicidae. The transcript has 2 exons.
UCCUCACAAUCUCACCCGGCAACACCGCUUUCACGGCGGCGCGGAAGACAUCUCGCAGAUCGGCUCUCGUCUCCGACAGAAAUUUCACGUCCGUCGCCAUCCCGCGACUUAAGUUCGUGCACUUGAAAAUUUUAGAGAGUUCCUUUGUAUCUCCCGGAGAAAGAAGUACAGAUAAUUUCCGCAUAACGCGGGGUUAGGCUGUUGAAAAAUGCUGUAUGGUGCGAAAUUGUUAUUUGAAAUCAAUGUUUAUUUCUACCAAUAUCAAGAAUAUGCUCGCAAGAUUGAGAAAAAUCCGUUAGAAUGAAAAUACUAAAACUGUAAUACGUAACCGUGAGUUAUGUGUAAAUGUAAUGAAACAAAUCUGUAAACUUGACGAAUUAUAAAAUUAAAAUCAUGGAAAAAUA